RNAcentral lists this ribosomal RNA (1395 nucleotides) under bacterium NLAE-zl-P346. RNAcentral's name for it is "16S ribosomal RNA". It matches the Rfam family "Bacterial small subunit ribosomal RNA". The record is from RNAcentral.
CAUGCAAGUCGAGGGGCAGCAUUUCAGUUUGCUUGCAAACUGGAGAUGGCGACCGGCGCACGGGUGAGUAACACGUAUCCAACCUGCCGAUAACUCGGGGAUAGCCUUUCGAAAGAAAGAUUAAUACCCGAUGGUAUAAUCAGACCGCAUGGUCUUAUUAUUAAAGAAUUUCGGUUAUCGAUGGGGAUGCGUUCCAUUAGGCAGUUGGUGAGGUAACGGCUCACCAAACCUUCGAUGGAUAGGGGUUCUGAGAGGAAGGUCCCCCACAUUGGAACUGAGACACGGUCCAAACUCCUACGGGAGGCAGCAGUGAGGAAUAUUGGUCAAUGGGCGCAGGCCUGAACCAGCCAAGUAGCGUGAAGGAUGACUGCCCUAUGGGUUGUAAACUUCUUUUAUAUGGGAAUAAAGUUUUCCACGUGUGGAAUUUUGUAUGUACCAUAUGAAUAAGGAUCGGCUAACUCCGUGCCAGCAGCCGCGGUAAUACGGAGGAUCCGAGCGUUAUCCGGAUUUAUUGGGUUUAAANGGGAGCGUAGGUGGACAGUUAAGUCAGUUGUGAAAGUUUGCGGCUCAACCGUAAAAUUGCAGUUGAUACUGGCUGUCUUGAGUACAGUAGAGGUGGGCGGAAUUCGUGGUGUAGCGGUGAAAUGCUUAGAUAUCACGAAGAACUCCGAUUGCGAAGGCAGCUCACUGGACUGCAACUGACACUGAUGCUCGAAAGUGUGGGUAUCAAACAGGAUUAGAUACCCUGGUAGUCCACACAGUAAACGAUGAAUACUCGCUGUUUGCGAUAUACAGUAAGCGGCCAAGCGAAAGCAUUAAGUAUUCCACCUGGGGAGUACGCCGGCAACGGUGAAACUCAAAGGAAUUGACGGGGGCCCGCACAAGCGGAGGAACAUGUGGUUUAAUUCGAUGAUACGCGAGGAACCUUACCCGGGCUUAAAUUGCAUUUGAAUAAUCUGGAAACAGGUUAGCCGCAAGGCAAAUGUGAAGGUGCUGCAUGGUUGUCGUCAGCUCGUGCCGUGAGGUGUCGGCUUAAGUGCCAUAACGAGCGCAACCCUUAUCUUUAGUUACUAACAGGUCAUGCUGAGGACUCUAGAGAGACUGCCGUCGUAAGAUGUGAGGAAGGUGGGGAUGACGUCAAAUCAGCACGGCCCUUACGUCCGGGGCUACACACGUGUUACAAUGGGGGGUACAGAAGGCAGCUACCUGGUGACAGGAUGCUAAUCCCAAAAGCCUCUCUCAGUUCGGAUCGAAGUCUGCAACCCGACUUCGUGAAGCUGGAUUCGCUAGUAAUCGCGCAUCAGCCAUGGCGCGGUGAAUACGUUCCCGGGCCUUGUACACACCGCCCGUCAAGCCAUGAAAGCCGGGGGUACCUGAAGUACGAACCGCAAGGAG